GACGAACGCUGGCGGCGUGCUUAACACAUGCAAGUCGAACGGAAAGGCCCUGCUUUUGUGGGGUGCUCGAGUGGCGAACGGGUGAGUAACACGUGAGUAACCUGCCCUUGACUUUGGGAUAACUUCAGGAAACUGGGGCUAAUACCGGAUAGGAGCUCCUGCUGCAUGGUGGGGGUUGGAAAGUUUCGGCGGUUGGGGAUGGACUCGCGGCUUAUCAGCUGGUUGGUGGGGUAGUGGCUUACCAAGGCUUUGACGGGUAGCCGGCCUGAGAGGGUGACCGGCCACAUUGGGACUGAGAUACGGCCCAGACUCCUACGGGAGGCAGCAGUGGGGAAUAUUGCACAAUGGGCGGAAGCCUGAUGCAGCAACGCCGCGUGCGGGAUGACGGCCUUCGGGUGGUAAACCGCUUUCGCUGUGACGAAGCGUGAGUGACGGUAAUGGGUAAAGAAGCACCGGCUAACUACGUG
RNAcentral lists this ribosomal RNA (467 nucleotides) under uncultured bacterium. Its description in RNAcentral is "partial 16S ribosomal RNA". It matches the Rfam family "Bacterial small subunit ribosomal RNA", at positions 28 to 507 of the family's 1533-position model. The record is from RNAcentral.